This 28-nucleotide non-coding RNA is filed under the name Mus musculus (house mouse). The record is from RNAcentral. Lineage: Eukaryota; Metazoa; Chordata; Mammalia; Rodentia; Muridae.
UACACACACACACAUACACACACACACA